Non-coding RNA from Ictidomys tridecemlineatus (thirteen-lined ground squirrel), 70 nucleotides. NCBI's taxonomy places the organism in Eukaryota, Metazoa, Chordata, Mammalia, Rodentia, Sciuridae. The record is from Rfam.
UGGGAUAUAGCUCAGUUGGUAGAGUGCUUGCCUUGUAUGCAGAGGCCCUGGGUUCAAUCCCCAGCACCAA